This 525-nucleotide ribosomal RNA is filed under the name uncultured bacterium. Its description in RNAcentral is "bacterial SSU rRNA". It matches the Rfam family "Bacterial small subunit ribosomal RNA", at positions 353 to 896 of the family's 1533-position model. The record is from RNAcentral.
AGUGGGGAAUCUUAGACAAUGGGCGCAAGCCUGAUCUAGCCAUGCCGCGUGAGUGAAGAAGGCCUUAGGGUCGUAAAGCUCUUUCGCCUGUGAAGAUAAUGACUGUAGCAGGUAAAGAAACCCCGGCUAACUCCGUGCCAGCAGCCGCGGUAAUACGGAGGGGGUUAGCGUUGUUCGGAAUUACUGGGCGUAAAGCGCGCGUAGGCGGACAUUUAAGUCAGGGGUGAAAUCCCGGGGCUCAACCCCGGAACUGCCCUUGAUACUGGGUGUCUUGAGUUCGAGAGAGGUGAGUGGAAUUCCGAGUGUAGAGGUGAAAUUCGUAGAUAUUCGGAGGAACACCAGUGGCGAAGGCGGCUCACUGGCUCGAUACUGACGCUGAGGUGCGAAAGUGUGGGGAGCAAACAGGAUUAGAUACCCUGGUAGUCCACACCGUAAACGAUGAAUGCCAGUCGUCGGGCAGCAUGCUGUUCGGUGACACACCUAAUGGAUUAAGCAUUCCGCCUGGGGAGUACGGUCGCAAGACUA